UGUCUGAUGUUGAACAGAACUUACAACAUCAAUCAACAUGUCUCAAUGAAAAUUGUACAGAAAAAAAGUGGGAGUCUGUACCUGAACAAAUGUCAAAACUUAUUUUUUAACGAGAUGGCCAGGCAAUUUGAGUAACGUUAUUGCGUAGUCUACGGAAUGACAUCACAAGGUCAUUUAGCAACAAAUCAACCUAACUCUAGCAAUGUACCCUGAAAAUGAGUUGGCAACACUGAAACCGAGACGUACAAUAACAAAACCGGAAAUUGAGGUGCGAGAAGCGCUGAUAACGCUACGAUAUUUGAAUGAGAUGGAGUCAGAUGGAGGGGAGGAACUUGAUGCUGAGAUCGACUCGGAUAACGAAAGGGGGAAUACUUCAUUACAUUCUGAUUCUGAUUAGGAGCCUGAUCUGCCUCGGCGCAAGAGAGCCCGAACGAUGCCCACUGUGCAGGCGUCACUAACUGAGAUGGAGAGAGAGGAGACGGGGACGGACGGCACGGUUUGGAUAAAAAAGCCUGCUGACAAUGCUCCGAGUCGAUUAUCAGCACAUAAUGGAAUGCCAGUGGAGUCGGGCCCUACACCUUACGCAAAAGCCAGAAUUGACAGAGCAUUCGACAGCUUUCAUUGUUUAUGUGACAUGGAGAUGUUGCAGCAAAUCAGGGGCCAUACUGUAGCUGAGGCGCACAGAACAAAAGGAGACAAAACGUGGGACAUGCCUGUGGAUGAGCUGGAAGCGUUCAUUGCGCUCCUGUAUGUCCAGAACACGCCUCUGGUCAGACAGGUAUGGGAUCACUUUCUUCUGAGACACCAUGCCACGGAACCGCUUCAGAGAAAUCAUGUGAAUCCUGCGUUUUGAUGCAAGAGCGACCAGACGUAUGCGCCUGGAAACUGACAAAUUCCCCUUAGUAUCAGAAGAUUGGAAUGUUUUUUUUACAGUACUGUGCUACCUCUUUACAAGCCAGGAGUGAACAUCACCGUGGAGGAGCAAUGGUUCCCCACGAAAACGAAAUGUCGCUUUACGCAUGAAGUUUCGGUUGGCAGCUGACUUCACAGUAUGUGCUGAAUGUCUUUCCACAUCUGGGGAAAGAUGAAUCUUAGCGUCCUGAAAAUGUGGUGAUGAGGCUUGUAGAACCGUACCUUGGCGAGGGUAGGAAUGUAAACACAGACGAGAUCUUCACAUCACUGCCAUUGGCAAAUAUAAGUUGAUUGACAAGAACACAAGCCUGGGGGGGGCUGCCUCCAUCUGCAUGUAACCAGUCACAAGCAGAGCUGUUAUCCACAGCGGAGCUGAAGCACGACAAAGCAACACUUACGGUUUACAGAAAGAAGCCUAGAAAAAAUGUCUGUAUCCUGAGUACUAUGCAUCUGACCGUUGCCAUUGGCGGUGACACAAAGAGAGAACCUGAGACCCUGACGCACAGUAACAGCAGAAAUGUUGGUGUGGAUACGAUGGCCAGACAGUUCACGGUGAAAGGGGGUACUCGCCGCUGGCCUGUUGCCGUUGCCGUAUUCUACAACCUGCUCGACCCGGCUGCUAUCAACGCGCACGUUUUGUUCGCCCAGUGUACCGGCAAGACAAUGUGGUGAAAGAGGGUAUCCCACAUCCAUUUCAUCAUGGAUCUGGCAUGGGAGCUUCGUGAGAACCACAUGAGCCAAGACGAAGGCAGCUGCAGCCGCCAAGGAGGCAGCCGAGGCCGCACCGCCUCCUUCCAGGGCACCCAUCCAGCUGGGAAGAGAACACAGUGCCAGGUGAAGACGCAGUGUGCACGGAACCAGGCCCAUGAAAGCUGUGCACAGUGCCACCGAUUUGUUUGUGGGUCUUGCACCCACAAAGGUCCGAAGCGGUGCGCUGACUGUGGAUCAGAGCAAUAGAGGAGAGGAGGAAGAGACUGAUUAAUGCAUGAAAGGCGCAUAUCCCACUGAAGGCGAGGGCACAAUAUUGUGUUCAACUCCAAUCUAAUGACAAAUGUUUUAUGUCAUGGAUAUUGUCAACGAAUAUUAACAUAUGUAUAUAAUGGUUCUCAUGUGUUUUGCACUCUUUUUAUCAGUUGCCGCUUCUGUGAAUGCAUAAAUCCCGAGUGGCACAGCGGUCUAUGGCACUGUCCCAGCGUUGUCCGGAUUUGGCUGGGGUAGGCCGUCAUUGUAAGUAAGAAUUGUUCUUAGCUGACUUGCAUUCUUAUCAUUGAUGUGGUCCUCUAUGGUUAUUUUUUGUACUCAUGCUUUUCCAAUCCUAGAAAUGAUUUAUUAACCCCGCACAAUUGGAUACAUUUAAUCAAUUGUACUUGUGAAUGUAGCUAACAGUAUCCCACAGAAAGCAAGAGGCCAGGCCACUAACAGUUUAAAGAGCCAGUGCAGUCAAAAUGUAAUUCUCCAGUGUUUUAUAUAUAUUUACAACCUAUGAGGUUGGAAUAAUAUGAAUCAUAAGGGAAACAUCGCGCUGUCCCAGAAUCUUGGCUGGUGUGUAAAAGCAGUGAAUUUAGACAAACAAAAAGGUGUAGCAGGAAGCUUAGGCCUACUUCAUUAUUCUAAUUGAAAAAAUCCUUUUCACUGCAUUAGGAAUAGCGUACACAGACUUUUGGAUUUACGUCCUUCUUCAGUGUAUAGGUGCAAUUUUAUUUGAUUUCAAAACCGCUUUUUUUUUUUUUUUUUUUUAGGGAACAACUGAUGAUAAAUAACAUUUGAUUUGAUGAGUAGCGGGUGCUUUUAAUCAGGGUUGCCUCUCAUCUGCCAAUGAGGGAUGUGUCUUUUUCUGGUCUACCUGUAUACAAACAAGUUAGUCACAAAGGAAUACAGAAUUAUAAGGUAAGAGAGCGGGCACCAAGGACAAUUCAAUUGCCUUAGGUGUCUGCUCACUUGAAUACAUUGUGUCGAUUCACGAGAUACCUUACCACAAAGGAUAUCAGGCUCAGACGUCCAUAAAUAUGUGGGGCUAACUCAUAAACGAUAUGCAAAAUCUGUAAGGACAGUGUUCUUGUAACAGUCUAAAUUUGGCCUAUAGGAAGGAGGUGAAAUAUAAUGAUUUGUUUAAACCGUGUGGAGAUACAGAAUGUAAUGUAUAUAUCCACGUUGUAAUGGGUGCGUGCUGGCGACAGGGAAGUCAGGUUCAGGAGAAUGAACUUGGUAUAAACGGAGUCGUUUAAUAAGUGCUCACAAAACUCUGAAAAACCCGUCGCACACCAGAACUGCACAUAACAUACAAUCAAACGAUCACCGACAAGGACAUGAGGGGAAACAGGGUUAAAUACACAACAUGGAAUUGAUGGGAUUGGAAUCAGGUGUGAAGGAAGACAAGGCAAAACUAAUGGAAAAUUAAAAAUAGAUCAGCGAUGGCUAGAAGGUCGGUGACGUCGACCGCCGAACACCGCCCGAACAAGGAGAGGGACCGACUUCGAAGUCGUGGCAGUAUCCCCCCCCCCCCCCGACGCGUGGUUCCAGCAGCGCGUUGACACUGAACUCGGGGACGACCCGGAGGGCGAGGCGCAGGGCAGUCCGGAUGGAGACGGUUGAGCUCUCACAGCAUUGAAGGAUCCAACACGUCCUCCACCGGAACCCAGCACCUCUCCUCCGGACCAUACCCCUCCCAGUCCAUGAGGUACUGAAGGUGUCCUAUGGGCGGCGUCCUAUGUUUCCUCCACGCGCCGGAACCAGUCGUCCACCGCAGGAGCCUCGGUCUGACUGAUGCCCUAAUACACACUGGAAGGAAGAGAGGUUAGUGGAGGAGUGGCAGAGCGAGUUCUGGGCCAUCUCUGCCCAGGAUACAAACGCUGCCCACUCCCCCAGCCAGUCCUGGCAAUAAGACCUCAGAAACCUACCCACAUCCUGUUUAACUCUCCACCUGCCCGUUACUCUCGGGGUGAAAACCUGAGGUAAGGCUGACCGAAACCCCAGACGUUCCAUGAAUGCCCUCCAGACCCUCGAUGCGAACUGGGGACCCCGAUCAGACACUAUAUCCUCAGGCACCCCGUAGUGCCGGAAGACGUGUGUAAACAGGGCCUCUGCAGUCUGUAGGGCCGUAGGAAAACCGGGCAGAGGGAGGAGACGACAGGACUUAGAAAACCGAUCCACAACGACCAGGAUCGUGGUGUUACCCUGUGAAGGAGGAAGAUCGGUCAGGAAAUCUACCGACAGGUGCAACCACGGCCGUUGUGGAACGGGUAAGGGUUGUAACUUACCUCUGGGCAGGUGCCUAGGAGCCUUACACUGGGCUCACACCGAGCAGGAGGAAACAUAAACCCUCACCUCCUUAGCCAAAGUGGUCCACCAGUACUUCCCACUAAGACAGCGCACCGUCCGACCGAUCCCAGGAUGACCAGAGGAGGGUGACCUGUGGGCCCAAUAGUUCAGCCGGUGGCGGACAGCAGACUGAACGUACAGACGCCCAGCUGGACACUGGAGGGGAGCGGGCUCUGCACGUAAUGCCUGCUCAAUAUCCGUGUCCAGCUCCCACACUACCGGUGCCACCAGGCAGGAGGCGGGGAGUAUGGGAGUGGGAUCCAUGGGCCGCUCCUCUGUGUCAUACAGCCGGGACAAUGCGUCUGCCUUAACGUUCUGGGAGCCUGGUCUGUCGAAAAGGGUAAAUACAAAACGGGUGAAAAACAUGGCCUACCUUGCCUGGCGAGGGUUCAGUCUCCUCGCUGCCCGGAUGUACUCCAGAUUUAGGUUGUCAGUCCAGAUGAGAAAAAGGUGUCUAGCCCCCUCAAGCCAACGUCUCCACGCCUUCAAGGCCUUGACGGCAGCCAACAGCUCCCGGUGCCCACACACAUCAUAGUUUCACUCCGUCAGGCUGAGCUUCUAAAUCUCCGGUAUUAGUUGGCAAACCGUAAGAACCGCUGCACCUCCUUUACGGUGGUGGAAGUCGGCCAAUUACGCACGGCUGCAAUGCGGUCACUCUCCAUCUCCACCCCUGUAGUGGAAAUGCAAUACCCUAGGAAGGAGACGGCCUGCUGAAAGAACAGGCAUUUCUCAGCCUUGACGUACACGUCACGCUCCAACAGGCGACCAAGCACUCUGCGCACCAGGGACACAUGCUCAGCGCGUGUAGCGGAGUAUAUCAAAAUGUUCUCAAUAUACACCACUACACCCUGCCCGUGCAGGUCCCUGAAAAUCUCGUCUACAAAGGCUUGGAAGACUGAUGGCGCAUUCAUUAACCCGUACAGCAUGAUGAGGUACUCAUAGUGCCCAGAUGGCUGCUCUGGCCACUGGUCAUUCGGGAUUAGUCUGUUGUGGAGGGGGUCCAGAAAUGUGAUAAGGUGUGCAGUGUUGUAUGGGCCUAGGAUUGCAUGAUGGUGAAGGACGCCAUUUUGACUAAUAGCCGCACACAUUAUGUUGCCACCACGUUGUCCCGGGACGUUGAUAAUGGCACGGUGUCCGAUGAUAUUUUGCAAGGUUGAAACCUGCCUGUCCACAUAUAUUAGCUGAUGAUGCACUGCAUCUGCUUCUCGCUCCAUGAAAGAGACAAGACAAAACAAUGUAGCACAGUACGAAAAGACAGGGAUCAGUCAAUAUGAUGUAGCACCAUACACUUCCACAUCCAGUACCAAUGAUAGGAUUCAUAUCUCAGUAGUUUUACAGGUUUCUGUACAGCUGCUUCAUCCUAAUUCUAUUGCGUUUCAGUAGACUAGACCGUGCAGAGAGACUCGCGCUGUUGACGUUUUAGAAUAUGGUGUUAUCUACCAUUAUGUGGUCCUGCAGUUCUGAGUCUGAUGCAGUUAUUUGCAAUGAUCAUAUUUACAAUGUGGGUCUCCUGUUCUGGGGUGAACAGUCGACCUCUUCCACCAGAUACUGGUUUUCUUGCAGUUCUGUAAAAACAUUUGAAUGGUUUGAGUGAUAGAUCCUUCUCAUUAUGAAAGUACAGUACAUAUUACCAGUACCAGUAAGACUACAGCCCUUACAGAUACUUACCGGUUCUCAUCUCAAAAUAUCCGGAUGAUACCUGCAAGAGUAUAGAGACUCAGAUUUGGAUGGACCCUUUGCCCAGCCUCCCUCAUGCUCAUGCCAUGGCUGACAACAUGAUUUCAUCAGUUAUUGUGUUCCUGACUCCACUUCCUCUUCCCCGUCCUCUCAUUCUCCCCGUCCUACUUCACCUCUUUCUUCUCUUACUUCUUCACCUCCUCGUACUCCUAGUUCUCACCCCUCUUACUCUCUGUCCAAUAUUGGCCUCCAUUGUUGUCCAAACCAAAUGUUUACCUGUGGCCUAUUUAUAGUGCUCAAGCUCUGAUUUGUAAGUUAGCUCAUUAUCUAAAAGUGUUUUCAUGUGUCAAUGUGGAAAGGCAAUUGGCGAAAUAGUGUAGCAAUGUAGAGACCAAUGUUUUGCUAGAAGUGUGUUAUUAAAUUGCAAACUGAGUGUGAAGCAGUGAGUUGUGUUCACAGUUUUGCAAAAAAAAGUGUGUUAUAAAAUUACAAACUGAGUAUAAAGCAGAGAACGUGCAUUCAGUUUGGCACACUUGGUAAAUUCAUUGGCUAACAAGUGUUAAUGUUUUCAGAGAUAGUGCUUCAAGAAUCACUGUUAAGAGUUUAAGCAUUCCGAGAAAAAAACUGUAAUCGGGCAUUGGAGUCUGAAAAGGCUCUAGUCUAAAGUCAAGACACAGUUGAAGUGUUGGCCACCACAUGCUUAUGGCAAACAACACCAGAUCGAAAACAUGCAAAAGAACGGAGAGGAGAUUGAUUGAUGCGUAAAGGGUGCAUUCCCCACUGAAUGCACCCAGGAGGAUAACACUGUGUCCGAUCGAGCUUUAACCACUUGUUUAUAUCAUGGAUAUAUUUACACACAUACUCAUUUCUGCAUUUCAUGUUUCACAUUUGUGAUUUGCUAAAUGUAAUCGACAAAUAAAACUGCUAAAAUGGA
Molecule: long non-coding RNA, 6841 nt
Organism: Oncorhynchus nerka (sockeye salmon)
Lineage: Eukaryota; Metazoa; Chordata; Actinopteri; Salmoniformes; Salmonidae
Exons: 2
Source: RefSeq, a predicted model, not a curated record